AACGAACGCUGGCGGCAUGCCUAACACAUGCAAGUCGAACGUGAUCCAUGACUUCGGUUGUGGUGAAAGUGGCAAACGGGUGAGUAACGCGUGGGAAUCUGCCCAGAGGUAGGGAAUAACCGCGGGAAACUGCGGCUAAUACCCUAUGUGCCCUACGGGGCAAAGAUUUAUCGCCUUUGGAGGAGCCCGCGUCGGAUUAGGUAGUUGGUAGGGUAACGGCCUACCAAGCCUACGAUCCGUAGCUGGUCUGAGAGGAUGAUCAGCCACACU
This 270-nucleotide ribosomal RNA is filed under the name uncultured bacterium. Its description in RNAcentral is "partial 16S ribosomal RNA". It matches the Rfam family "Bacterial small subunit ribosomal RNA", at positions 29 to 314 of the family's 1533-position model. The record is from RNAcentral.